GUCUAUGGCCAUACCACCCUGAAUGCGCCUGAUCUCGUCUGAUCUCGGAAGAUUGGUGGGCAAAGAGAAUCUUAUUUUUUAAGUACAAAAAUUGUCAGAGAAA
Molecule: ribosomal RNA, 103 nt
Filed under: Urocitellus parryii (Arctic ground squirrel)
Lineage: Eukaryota; Metazoa; Chordata; Mammalia; Rodentia; Sciuridae
Source: RNAcentral